CCUCCAGAGGCAGCUGUCAACAUCUGGGCUGGCAAAUGAGGCCAGCCUAGAGAGUGUGGGAUCUUGGCCCCCAGUGACUCAGCUCUCUCAGGA
Molecule: unclassified non-coding RNA, 93 nt
Organism: Peromyscus maniculatus bairdii (prairie deer mouse)
Lineage: Eukaryota; Metazoa; Chordata; Mammalia; Rodentia; Cricetidae
Product: predicted gene, 27369
Source: Ensembl